This 253-nucleotide ribosomal RNA is filed under the name uncultured bacterium. RNAcentral's name for it is "partial 16S ribosomal RNA". It matches the Rfam family "Bacterial small subunit ribosomal RNA", at positions 57 to 305 of the family's 1533-position model. The record is from RNAcentral.
GCAAGUCGAGGGGUAACGUGGAGAGCUUGCUUUCUGACGACGACCGGCGCACGGGUGCGGAACGCGUAUGGAACCUACCUUUAUCAGGAGAAUAGCCCAGAGAAAUUUGGAUUAAUGCUCCAUAGUAUUGGAUUAACACAUGUUAAUUUAAUUAAAGAUUUAUCGGAUAGAGAUGGCCAUGCGUACCAUUAGUUAGUUGGUAAGGUAACGGCUUACCAUGGCUACGAUAGGUAGGGGCCCUGAGAGGGGGAUC